This 253-nucleotide ribosomal RNA is filed under the name uncultured bacterium. RNAcentral's name for it is "partial 16S ribosomal RNA". It matches the Rfam family "Bacterial small subunit ribosomal RNA", at positions 524 to 776 of the family's 1533-position model. The record is from RNAcentral.
UACGUAGGGGGCAAGCGUUAUCCGGAAUCAUUGGGCGUAAAGCGCGUGUAGGCGGUUCGAUUAGUCCGCUCUGAAAGCCCAGGGCUCAACCCUGGGAGGCGGGUGGAUACUGUCGGACUAGAGUACGGAAGGGGAGAUUGGAAUUCCUGGUGUAGCGGUGAAAUGCGCAGAUAUCAGGAGGAACACCAACAGCGAAGGCAGAUCUCUGGGACGUAACUGACGCUGAGACGCGAAAGCGUGGGGAGCAAACAGG